AGGGCCGCAGUAAUUUGACUGUGCGAAGGUAGCAUAAUCAUUAGUCUUUUAAUUGGAGGCUUGUAUGAAUGGUUGGAUGAGGGAUGAACUGUCUUGCGUGUAUUGUUUGAAUUUAACUUUUAAGUGAAAAGGCUUAGAUUAUUUAGGGGGACGAUAAGACCCUAUAAAACUUAAUAUUGAUGUUUAUAAAUUAUGGAUAAAGUUUAAAAUGAUUUUUGGGUUUUAAUAUUUCAUUGGGGCGAUGAAGAUAUAAUAAUUAACUGUUUUGUAAAUUAAAUAAUAAUUAUUAGAUAAUGAUCCUAUAUUAUGGAUUAUAAGAUCAAGUUACUUUAGGGAUAACAGCGUAAUUUUCUUUGAGAGUUCUUAUCGACAAGAGUAGUUGCGACCUCGAUGUUGAAUUAAAAUUUCAGCUGGGUGAAGCAGCUCAGCUAGUAGGUCUGUUCGACCUUUAAAAUUUUA
RNAcentral lists this ribosomal RNA (459 nucleotides) under Urocaridella antonbruunii. Its description in RNAcentral is "partial large subunit ribosomal RNA". It matches the Rfam family "Bacterial large subunit ribosomal RNA", at positions 1927 to 2598 of the family's 2925-position model. Lineage: Eukaryota; Metazoa; Arthropoda; Malacostraca; Decapoda; Palaemonidae. The record is from RNAcentral.